Molecule: ribosomal RNA, 253 nt
Filed under: uncultured bacterium
Lineage: Bacteria
Description: partial 16S ribosomal RNA
Rfam family: Bacterial small subunit ribosomal RNA
Source: RNAcentral
UACAGAGGGGGCAAGCGUUGUUCGGAAUUACUGGGCGUAAAGGGCGCGUAGGCGGCCUGCUAAGUCGAACGUGAAAUCCCCGAGCUCAACUCGGGAACUGCGUCCGAUACUGGUUGGCUUGAAUCCGGGAGAGGGAUGCGGAAUUCCAGGUGUAGCGGUGAAAUGCGCAGAUAUCAGGAAGAACACCCGUGGCGAAAGCGGCUCUCUGGAACGGUACUGACGCUGAGACGCGAAAGCGUGGGGAGCGAACAGG